RNAcentral lists this ribosomal RNA (465 nucleotides) under uncultured bacterium. RNAcentral's name for it is "partial 16S ribosomal RNA". It matches the Rfam family "Bacterial small subunit ribosomal RNA", at positions 339 to 795 of the family's 1533-position model. The record is from RNAcentral.
CUACGGGAGGCUCCAGUGGGGAAUAUUGGACAAUGGGGGAAACCCUGAUCCAGCAAUGCCGCGUGUGUGAAGAAGGCCUGCGGGUUGUAAAGCACUUUCGGUUGGGAGGACUGCUUCUAGCACUAAUAUUGUUGGAAGUUGACGUUACCUUCAGAAGAAGCACCGGCUAACUCCGUGCCAGCAGCCGCGGUAAUAGGGAGGGUGCAAGCGUUAAUCGGAAUUACUGGGCGUAAAGCGCGCGUAGGCGGCUAGAUCAGUCGGGUGUGAAAGCCCCGGGCUUAACCUGGGAACUGCAUCCGAUACUGUCUAGCUUGAGUACAGGAGAGGAGAGUGGAAUUCCACAUGUAGCGGUGAAAUGCGUAGAUAUGUGGAGGAACACCAAUGGCGAAGGCAGCUCUCUGGCCUGAUACUGACGCUGAGGUGCGAAAGCGUGGGGAGCAAACGGGAUUAGAUACCCCCGUAGUC